GGGAUUGAGGAGCUUGCUUCUCAUGAGAGUGGCGCACGGGUGCGUAACACGUAUGUAACCUACCUUGUUCAGGGGGAUAGCCUCUCGAAAGAGAGAUUAACACCGCAUAAAAUCAAUUUAUGGCAUCAUAGAAUGAUCAAAUAUUUAUAGGAACAAGAUGGGCAUGCGGAACAUUAGCUAGUUGGUAAGGUAACGGCUUACCAAGGCUACGAUGUUUAGGGGAUCUGAGAGGAUGACCCCCCACACUGGUACUGAGACACGGACCAGACUCCUACGAGAGGCAGCAGUAAGGAAUAUUGGUCAAUGGACGCAAGUCUGAACCAGCCAUGCCGCGUGCAGGAAGACGGCCCUACGGGUUGUAAACUGCUUUUGUACCGGAAUAAACCUUUUCACGUGUGAGAAGCUGAAUGUACGGUAAGAAUAAGGAUCGGCUAACUCCGUGCCAGCAGCCGCGGUAAUACGGAGGAUCCAAGCGUUAUCCGGAUUUAUUGGGUUUAAAGGGUGCGUAGGUGGCCUAUUAAGUCAG
RNAcentral lists this ribosomal RNA (526 nucleotides) under uncultured bacterium. Its description in RNAcentral is "bacterial SSU rRNA". It matches the Rfam family "Bacterial small subunit ribosomal RNA", at positions 68 to 591 of the family's 1533-position model. The record is from RNAcentral.